RNAcentral lists this ribosomal RNA (460 nucleotides) under uncultured bacterium. RNAcentral describes it as "partial 16S ribosomal RNA". It matches the Rfam family "Bacterial small subunit ribosomal RNA", at positions 29 to 507 of the family's 1533-position model. The record is from RNAcentral.
AGCGAACGCUGGCGGCAGGCUUAACACAUGCAAGUCGAGCGGGCAUCUUCGGAUGUCAGCGGCAGACGGGUGAGUAACACGUGGGAACGUACCCUUCGGUUCGGAACAACUCUGGGAAACUGGAGCUAAUACCGGAUACGCCCUUAUGGGGAAAGGUUUACUGCCGAAGGAUCGGCACGCGUCUGAUUAGCUAGCUGGUGAGGUAACGGCCUACCAAGGCGACGAUGCGAAGCCGUUCUGAGAGGGUGAUCCGCCACACGGGAACUGAGACUCGGCCCAGACUCUGACGGUAGGAAGCAGUAGGGAAUCUUACGCGAGGCGGCAGUGCGGGAUAGAGCACCACGGCGGCAAGGCUGAACCACUCAUGACGGGAGAACUAUGUUAUUAGUAAAGUACAAAUGCGUAAUUAUCCGUGACGGUAUUGACGGUACCGGAAGAGUAAGCCCCGGCUAACUACGUG